UGCUUGUCUGAAGGUAGUGAGUUAUCCCUAUUGAUUGUUCACAGUCAGUUACAGAUUGGAGUCUUUGUUCUAUUCUUCUCCCCCGUCUCACUACUGCACUUGACUAGUCUUUU
Molecule: Y RNA, 113 nt
Filed under: Propithecus coquereli (Coquerel's sifaka)
Lineage: Eukaryota; Metazoa; Chordata; Mammalia; Primates; Indriidae
Description: Y RNA (ENSPCOG00000006288.1)
Rfam family: Y RNA
About the family: Y RNAs are components of the Ro ribonucleoprotein particle (Ro RNP), in association with Ro60 and La proteins. The Y RNAs and Ro60 and La proteins are well conserved, but the function of the Ro RNP is not known. In humans the RNA component can be one of four small RNAs -- hY1, hY3, hY4 and hY5.
Source: Rfam by way of RNAcentral